Onthophagus taurus is the source of this 1536-nucleotide non-coding RNA. The record is from RefSeq and is a predicted model, not a curated record. Lineage: Eukaryota; Metazoa; Arthropoda; Insecta; Coleoptera; Scarabaeidae.
UUUCUUCAGAAAUUUAUCUUCGUAGGAUUUCACGAGCGUUUCGAAAUAGAUGUUUACUCAAUGAUGAUCAGGAAGCGAACUUAGCGUCCUCGUUAUUCAUUUUUCACCCUUUUUUCGGUAAAACUUCUCUUUUUUGUCCAUCGCCCUCUUUGAUACCACAAGAAAAAGUGUAAAAAAUUUGUAUUUCUGAGCGCCAUCUCUUAUUGACAUUUGGUUUUUCUUCCAAAUUUUCAAAAAUUACUUUUUAAAUAAACUAUAUUUAUUGAAAUCCUUCAAUGUCUGAAUACUCCGAAUUAUUUCAUUCCCCUUUGACACAAUUUUUCACAUUAAUUCUUCUUUAAUUCCAAAAUUUAUUAUCAAAAUCUUCACAUUUUUAAUUUUCAACAUUUCGGUUUUAAACUGAUUAAAAUCACUUGAAUCUGAUGUAAUUCAUUAUAAGCUUUAUGUUUUUAGGUAUUUCAGGAAGCUUUUUGGCUGUAAUCACCCGUAAAUUGAAUACUUUGGAUUUGGAGGUUAUGUUUCGUUUUUUUUUACUAAAUACAAGAAUAUUUCUUAAUCUACGACGGAAAUACGAACGGAUUUAUCAUUGAUUAAAACAUUUUUACAAAUAACGACGAAAUCAAUGAGAACUAUAACAAACUUUUAUGAAAUUUUUCAACGAUCAGCUUUAACUAUCCUCGGUAUAUCAACUUUGAUAUCAAUACAUUUGAAGAAGUACUAAUAAACUCUCUAGGCUCUCGAUUUACAAGGAUUUUUCUAUGGAAUGUCAUUAUCUCCUCUUUAUUGUAAUUAUUUCUUAUAACAAAACUAUUGCUUAUUAAUUAAUUCAUACAAUUAUGAGAGGAACCCAAUUACUCUUUAAGAGUAAUUUAAUUCAGAGUUGCUGUGUGCAUGUGGAGCUUGAAGAAAGGUCACCGCAAUUCUAAAGAAUGUGCGAAAUAUAUCAUAUUAAGUUAUUUAUAUUAUGUUUAUCAUCAUCCAUUUCCAAACAAGACAUAUACAGUUCCUGUAAUAGCAAAACUUUCACAUUACGAUUACGUUAUAGCUAAUCGCCAUCAAUUUUGAACAAUACAAAUUGACAAGAAGUACUUUUUCCGCUACGAAGACAUGGUGAUUAACCGCUCCAUCGUUUUUUGAUAGAUAAAGAAAAAUAUGUGAAAGAAAAAUGUGGACAUUGAUGCUCCAGUUAUUGUGCAAACUGAUGACCACCAUUGUAAACCCCAAAAGCAACCCUAACCUUAUGGAAAGAAGCUGGACAAAUCCAUUUUGACUCAAAAUGAUAGUAAUCGAAACACUACAAUCCACCAUAUUAAAGAGGCAGCAACUGCCUCACGGCCGAAGCGCUAGAAUUUAGAUUGUAGUACGUUAAAGUAUUAUUAGUCGAGGUUGCUCGCCGCCGAGGUGAUCUAAUCUGAAUUGCUAAAGAGAUAGUACAAGAUAGUUACAAUUCACCGUCAGAAUUCACUCCGUAAAGUGUAUAAUAAUGAAUAUUGUUAAAGUGACAGUAGCUGGGAUGCUAUAAUCUGAUUUGGGAGG